GACGAACGCUGGCGGCGUGCUUAACACAUGCAAGUCGAACGGAAAGGCCCUGCUUGCAGGGUGCUCGAGUGGCGAACGGGUGAGUAACACGUGGGUGAUCUGCCCCUUACUUUGGGAUAAGCCUGGGAAACUGGGUCUAAUACUGGAUAGGACCAUGCUGUAGGUGGUGUGGUGGAAAGAUUAGUUUCGGUAAGGGAUGAGCUCGCGGCCUAUCAGCUUGUUGGUGGGGUAAUGGCCUACCAAGGCGUCGACGGGUAGCCGGCCUGAGAGGGUGGACGGCCACAUUGGGACUGAGAUACGGCCCAGACUCCUACGGGAGGCAGCAGUGGGGAAUAUUGCACAAUGGGCGCAAGCCUGAUGCAGCGACGCCGCGUGGGGGAUGACGGCCUUCGGGUUGUAAACUCCUUUCAGCCAUGACGAAGCCCUUGUGGUGACGGUAGUGGUAGAGGAAGCACCGGCUAACUACGUG
This 469-nucleotide ribosomal RNA is filed under the name uncultured bacterium. RNAcentral describes it as "partial 16S ribosomal RNA". It matches the Rfam family "Bacterial small subunit ribosomal RNA", at positions 28 to 507 of the family's 1533-position model. The record is from RNAcentral.